This 472-nucleotide ribosomal RNA is filed under the name uncultured bacterium. RNAcentral describes it as "bacterial SSU rRNA". It matches the Rfam family "Bacterial small subunit ribosomal RNA", at positions 355 to 825 of the family's 1533-position model. The record is from RNAcentral.
UCGGGAAUUUUGGGCAAUGGGCGAAAGCCUGAUCCAGCCAUGCCGCGUGUGUGAAGAAGGUCUUCGGAUUGUAAAGCACUUUAAGUUGGGAGGAAGGGCAGUAACUUAAUACGUUGCCGUCUUGACGUUACCGACAGAAUAAGCACCGGCUAACUCUGUGCCAGCAGCCGCGGUAAUACAGAGGGUGCAAGCGUUAAUCGGAAUUACUGGGCGUAAAGCGCGCGUAGGCGGUCGUAUAAGUCGGAUGUGAAAGCCCUUGGCUCAACCAAGGAACUGCGUCCGAUACUGUACGGCUUGAGGCUGGUAGGGGGUAGCGGAAUUCCCGGUGUAGCGGUGGAAUGCGUAGAUAUCGGGAGGAACACCGAUGGCGAAAGCGGCUACCUGGGCCAGAUCUGACGCUGAGGCGCGAAAGCUAGGGGAGCAAACAGGAUUAGAUACCCGUGUAGUCCCUGAGCGGGCUGGCAAGGCGCAU